GACUUGUAUAAAGAAGAGAGGUCAAUAGUCCUCUCGACCAGGGUGGGAAAGUCCUCGGACCUUGAAACACACAUAGUUGAGGCGUCAUCACCCGCUUGGUGGCAUCUAACCACGGUGUUGA
Small nuclear RNA from Molossus molossus (Pallas's mastiff bat), 121 nucleotides. NCBI's taxonomy places the organism in Eukaryota, Metazoa, Chordata, Mammalia, Chiroptera, Molossidae. The record is from RefSeq and is a predicted model, not a curated record.